This 909-nucleotide ribosomal RNA is filed under the name Macaca fascicularis (crab-eating macaque). RNAcentral describes it as "partial 16S ribosomal RNA". The stretch from base 154 to 909 matches the Rfam family "Bacterial large subunit ribosomal RNA", at positions 569 to 1898 of the family's 2925-position model. The record is from RNAcentral. Lineage: Eukaryota; Metazoa; Chordata; Mammalia; Primates; Cercopithecidae.
GCCAAUACUAGCCCUAAGCAUAACCAACACUAAUACCAAACCAACAUACACUAAACCAUUCACCUACACAAAGUAUAGGCGAUAGAAAUUUUAAUCUGGCGCUAUAGACAUAGUACCGUAAGGGAAAGAUAGAAAACCACCCAAGCACAAAACAGCAAGGACUAACUCCUGUACCUUUCGCAUAAUGAAUUAGCUAGAGACAAUUUUACGAAGAGGACUACAAGCCAAACCCCCCGAAACCAGACGAGCUACCCAAAAACAGCUAAAAGAGCGCACCCGCCUAUGUGGCAAAAUAGUGGGAAGAUUUCUGGGUAGAGGUGACAAGCCUACCGAGCCUGGUGAUAGCUGGUUAUCCAAGACAGAAUCUUAGUUCAACCUUAAGCUUACCUAUAGAACUACCUAAUCCCCCUGUAAGCUUAACUGCUAGUCUAAAGAGGGACAGCUCUUUAGACACCAGGAAAAAACCUUACGGAGAGAGUAAAACCCUCAAUCACCAUAGUUGGCUUAAAAGCAGCCAUCAAUUAAGAAAGCGUUCAAGCUCAACACUAACCACCACAAAAAUACCAAACACAUAACUGAACUCCUCACACCACAUUGGAUUAAUCUAUCACCAUAUAGAAGCAAUAAUGCUAGUAUAAGUAACAUGAAUAUUUUCUCCGCUGCAUAAGCCUGAAUCGGACCGAAAGCCUCACCGAUAUUUAACAGCCAGGCAUAACAAGCACAAACAAGCCCAUGCCACCUUCACUGUUAACCCAACACAGGCAUGCCCCAAGGAAAGGUUAAAAAAAGUAAAAGGAACUCGGCAAACCCAAACCCCGCCUGUUUACCAAAAACAUCACCUCUAGCAUUACUAGUAUUAGAGGCACUGCCUGCCCAGUGACACACGUUUAACGGCCGCGGUACCCUGAC